UGGGGAAUUUUGGACAAUGGGGGCAACCCUGAUCCAGCCAUGCCGCGUGAGUGAAGAAGGCCUUCGGGUUGUAAAGCUCUUUCGCGAGGGAAGAAAUUGCACCGGAUAAUACCUGGUGUAGAUGACGGUACCUUGAUAAGAAGCACCGGCUAACUACGUGCCAGCAGCCGCGGUAAUACGUAGGGUGCGAGCGUUAAUCGGAAUUACUGGGCGUAAAGCGUGCGCAGGCGGUUUCGUAAGACAGGCGUGAAAUCCCCGGGCUUAACCUGGGAACUGCGCUUGUGACUGCGAGGCUAGAGUACGGCAGAGGGAGGUAGAAUUCCACGUGUAGCAGUGAAAUGCGUAGAGAUGUGGAGGAAUACCGAUGGCGAAGGCAGCCUCCUGGGCCAGUACUGACGCUCAUGCACGAAAGCGUGGGGAGCAAACA
RNAcentral lists this ribosomal RNA (427 nucleotides) under uncultured bacterium. Its description in RNAcentral is "bacterial SSU rRNA". It matches the Rfam family "Bacterial small subunit ribosomal RNA", at positions 355 to 774 of the family's 1533-position model. The record is from RNAcentral.